RNAcentral lists this transfer RNA (71 nucleotides) under Ovis aries (sheep). It matches the Rfam family "tRNA". From Rfam's summary of the family: Transfer RNA (tRNA) molecules are approximately 80 nucleotides in length. Their secondary structure includes four short double-helical elements and three loops (D, anti-codon, and T loops). The record is from Rfam by way of RNAcentral. Lineage: Eukaryota; Metazoa; Chordata; Mammalia; Artiodactyla; Bovidae.
UCCCAGGUGGCUCAGCGGUAAAGCAUCUGCCUGCCAAGCAGGCAAUGCAGGUUUGAUCCCUGGGUCAGGAA